Long non-coding RNA from Biomphalaria glabrata, 1068 nucleotides. RefSeq lists it as uncharacterized. Lineage: Eukaryota; Metazoa; Mollusca; Gastropoda; Planorbidae. The transcript is spliced from 2 exons. The record is from RefSeq and is a predicted model, not a curated record.
CUGGAAGACCCAGUGGGUCACGGGUGACCCAUAACCGAAAAAUACGUUUAAGUAAAUGUCUACUUCAUUUUUUAUGUAAUUUUUACCAUGAAUACCCAGUGGCCCAUCUAUGGAACACAAGGGAAGCAAUUAUUAUGUUACAGUUUUCUUAUUACUGAAUGAUAUCCCCUUUUGCAUAUGGCUACCUCCAUGCGAAGUUGGAAUCUCAGUAUACGACCGAAUUAAAUUAUUUUUUUACUGCUUUAUACAAGAAUAAUGUCAGCUUCAUUCCCUAAGAAAUUCACUGCUCAAGAAGUGCUAGAUAUUUUAGAAGUAAUUGACUACAAUGAUUCAACUGAUGAUGAAGACUAUGAAUAGUAUGAACAAGAACCUGAUAAAAGGAAACAGAACGCAAGACCUCAAUUCUUCCGAAUCAUCUUCUGAUUUAGAAGAGACAGAACCCUUGCCAUUUACUUAUAGUGCCUCUUUAAAAUUAAAAUAAGGUGGCAGGAUGGCUGCCUGGUCUUGCGGUUUGCGUGCUGGACUGUCGUUCGGAUUUAUUGACUGUCGAGGGUUCAAACCCUGCCCGCUCCCAUCCCCCGUCGUCCUGCGGGAGGUUUGGACUAGGAAGUAAACUAUCUUCAACUCUGAAGGAACAUCUGAAUUAUGUAAAACAUUUUAAAACAUUUUUACAAUAACCAAUGUGGGAGUGCUAAGAAAAGCAGGGCGCCAGGACAUCUACUUUGUUAUCAGGAGCUAAUGCCUUGGCAGGCUUGGCCACGUUCAUAGAAUGCCAGUAGGUUGACUUCUACAAGACAUUCUGUAUGGCGAUCUAACAGAAGGCAAGAGAGCCACUGGUCGUCCACUCUUGCAGUAUACCGAUGUGUGCAAACACAACAUAAAGCUCAUCAAAAUGGACACUAGCAGCAGCGUAUCAGUUAUUGGCCUCUUUAGUCAUACAAGAAGUUGCCAAGGGAAAAGAUUGUCUCUCGAGACAUAAAAUGCCACAGAUACCUAUGAGUAUAGUGUUUAAAAAAGUGGAGGAAAUAUCGACAUCAAUAAAAUAAAAAAAUAUUAUUUUCUAACAUU